This 231-nucleotide ribosomal RNA is filed under the name uncultured bacterium. RNAcentral describes it as "partial 16S ribosomal RNA". It matches the Rfam family "Bacterial small subunit ribosomal RNA", at positions 297 to 545 of the family's 1533-position model. The record is from RNAcentral.
AGGUUGAACGGCCACAUUGGGACUGAGACACGGCCCAGACUCCUACGGGAGGCAGCAGUGGGGAAUAUUGCACAAUGGGGGAAACCCUGAUGCAGCGAUGCCGCGUGGAGGAAGAAGGUUUUCGGAUUGUAAACUUUUGUCUUAAAGGACGAUAAUGACGGUACUUUAGGAGGAAGCUCCGGCUAACUACGUGCCAGCAGCCGCGGUAAUACGUAGGGAGCGAGCGUUGUC